This 796-nucleotide ribosomal RNA is filed under the name uncultured Glomeromycotina. RNAcentral describes it as "SSU rRNA". It matches the Rfam family "Eukaryotic small subunit ribosomal RNA", at positions 314 to 1114 of the family's 1831-position model. The record is from RNAcentral. Lineage: Eukaryota; Fungi; Glomeromycota.
AUCAACUUUCGAUGGUAGGAUAGAGGCCUACCAUGGUGGUAACGGGUAACGGGGUGUUAGGGCACGACACCGGAGAGGGAGCCUGAGAAACGGCUACCACAUCCAAGGAUGGCAGCAGGCGCGCAAAUUACCCAAUCCCGACACGGGGAGGUAGUGACAAUAAAUAACAAUACGGGGUCCUUUCGGGUUUCGUAAUUGGAAUGAGUACAAUUUAAAUCUCUUAACGAGGAACAAUUGGAGGGCAAGUCUGGUGCCAGCAGCCGCGGUAAUUCCAGCUCCAAUAGCGUAUAUUAAAGUUGUUGCAGUUAAAAAGCUCGUAGUUGAAUUUCGGGAUUAGUACGUUGGUCGUGCCUUCGGUACGUACUGGUGUUACUGAUUCCUACCUUCUGACGAACCAUCAUGUCAUUAAUUUGGUGUGGUGGGGAAUCAGGACUGUUACUUUGAAAAAAUUAGAGUGUUUAAAGCAGGCUCGCGCUUGAAUACAUUAGCAUGGAAUAAUGAAAUAGGACGUUGACCCUAUUUUGUUGGUUUCUAGGAUUGACGUAAUGAUUAAUAGGGAUAGUUGGGGGCAUUAGUAUUCAAUUGUCAGAGGUGAAAUUCUUGGAUUUAUUAAAGACUAACUACUGCGAAAGCAUUUGCCAAGGAUGUUUUCAUUAAUCAAGAACGAAAGUUAGGGGAUCGAAGACGAUCAGAUACCGUCGUAGUCUUAACCAUAAACUAUGCCGACUAGGGAUCGGAUGAUGUUAUUUUUAAUGACUCAUUCGGCGCCUUACGGGAAACCAAAGUGUUUGGGUUC